GAGGGCGGGCGGGCGGUCCCCCACGACCAGGACCCGAACCCAGCACCACACCGGAGAACGGGAGAAGUCGGAGCCAGGCAUCUCCUCUUCCCACUGGCCCGUCCGGCAAACCCAGGGGGCGGCCGUCCCAAGACCCCCCCACCCAGACCCGCCCUUCCCGUCUCGGGGGCACGGGAAGCAGGAAAGACGGGAAAGGGACCCGACGGGUGCCCCGGGGCCGCGGCACGAGGCACGCGACCCGGCGGCGCCGCCCUCGGCGCCCGAGACCCAGGGGCGCGCGCAAACACUGGACCGAAACCGACGCCCCGCUGGAGUCUCUUCCGGAGAGGGGCUAAGGCAGGGUUGCAGGGGGGCCGCGGCUCUCCCUCGCUCGCGUUAGAGCCUGGUUUCCCUCCGGGCGGCUCCCGCACCCUCACGUGGCGCAGGGCAGGGGGAAGCGGAG
This 442-nucleotide long non-coding RNA is filed under the name Monodelphis domestica (gray short-tailed opossum). RNAcentral describes it as "lncRNA (ENSMODG00000044604.1)". The record is from RNAcentral. Lineage: Eukaryota; Metazoa; Chordata; Mammalia; Didelphimorphia; Didelphidae.